RNAcentral lists this ribosomal RNA (450 nucleotides) under uncultured Glomeromycotina. RNAcentral describes it as "SSU rRNA". It matches the Rfam family "Eukaryotic small subunit ribosomal RNA", at positions 569 to 1016 of the family's 1831-position model. The record is from RNAcentral. Lineage: Eukaryota; Fungi; Glomeromycota.
AGCAGCCGCGGUAAUUCCAGCUCCAAUAGCGUAUAUUAAAGUUGUUGCAGUUAAAGAGCUCGUAGUUGAAUUUCGGGAUUGACGUGAUGGUCAUGCCUUAAGGGGUAUGAACUGUUGCUGUUGAUUUCUCACCUUCUGGAGAAACUUGAUGUCCUUUAUUGGGUGUCUUGCGGAUCCAGGACCUUUACCUUGAAAAAAUUAGAGUGUUUAAAGCAGGCAUUUUUGCUCGAAUACAUUAGCAUGGAAUAAUAGAAUAGGACGGCAUGGUUCUAUUUUGUUGGUUUCUAGGAUCACCGUAAUGAUUAAUAGGGAUAGUUGGGGGCAUUAGUAUUCAAUUGUCAGAGGUGAAAUUCUUGGAUUUAUUGAAGACUAACUACUGCGAAAGCAUUUGCCAAGGAUGUUUUCAUUAAUCAAGAACGAAAGUUAGGGGAUCGAAGACGAUCAGAUACC